RNAcentral lists this unclassified non-coding RNA (198 nucleotides) under uncultured Inocybe. Its description in RNAcentral is "sequence contains ITS2". Lineage: Eukaryota; Fungi; Basidiomycota; Agaricomycetes; Agaricales; Cortinariaceae. The record is from RNAcentral.
GACUUAUCAACCACUUCAAAUGUUUUGAUGUGGCUUGGAUGUGGGGGUUUCUUUUGCCGGCUUUUUCUUUUACAGAAGGCCAGCUCCCCUGAAACUUAUUAGUGGUAUCUGAGCUGCUGCUAUUGGUGUGAUAAUUAUCUAUGCCUUUGGUAUGCUGCAUGAACAGAUUGCGCUGCUUAUAACAAUUGAAUUUGACAA